GAUAGGUUGGCAGAGUAGUGCCUCCGACUUAGAAUCGGUUCAUGGGGUUGACCCACCUAUUAUC
RNAcentral lists this transfer RNA (64 nucleotides) under Eisenia spelaea. RNAcentral describes it as "tRNA-Leu". The record is from RNAcentral. Lineage: Eukaryota; Metazoa; Annelida; Clitellata; Crassiclitellata; Lumbricidae.